GGACAAAGCCCACGGCCCACCCAAGGCUUCGUCUCCCUCCUCCUCUCCCCUUCCCAUUUCGCCGAUCCCACCCACGGCGGCGCCGCCACCGCCACCGCCACCGCCCACCGGACUUUGUGUAGAGAGCUCGAUGGGAAUCCGCGGCGGCGGAGGAGACCGGCCGGCUCAUGGAGGGGAAGAUGCAGGGCCACGCGUGGAGGAGGCCGGCUCAUGCUUCUUCUUCUCCGUCGAUGGGGACAGCACGUAAUGGAGUUGGCAUGAUUGAAUUACAGGAUGUUCCUGCUCACUGAAACAAGUAAAUGAUGACAUGAAAGGCCGAAAGCAGUGUGUUUCUACCCAGGUUUGAUCCAAGCUUGUGUCGGCUGAAAAUUCAUCAUCUCUUAUCAUGUGCUAGCCCGCCUUGAUUGAUUGAUGCUACUGGACAGUUUGGGAUUGGUAAUUUUCUGGGAGUGCCUUAUGGGGACCAUCUCCCAUCAAUUGUUACUUGCCUCCUGAAUUACAUUUAACUGUGCUAUCUUGUUUGCAAUUCAGGUAAAGUCUCUGUUUAGGCUGUAUCAAUCAUGCAUGUGAACUAGUUAAUGCAAAGGACCUAGGAAUUGAUGAAAGUAUUAGGCAUCAGCAUCAAUGGAUUAGCAGCAGCUUCUAUCAUCCUGACUCAAUUCUGUACUCCCAGGGACAGCAGUUGCCUGCUGAUGUUGCUAGGCCACUAGUACUAUGUAGUAGUAUACAUUACAUUGGAUAUCUCAAUCAUUUGAUUAAACUGUAUAAUUUUUCGGCGAAAGCUACCUUUGAAUGGUGAUGUGGUUAGUUUGUAGAUCAUGCACUGACUAAAUUAAGUUUUCCUCUAAUGAAAAUGGUAGAAGGUUUACUCUGUAUGUAAUGGAACACAUGUAAUUUUUGUAUGCUUUAAUAUGAAAAUACCCAUGCAGUUUAUCAGUUUGUAUCCAGUGCAUUUAGGAAUAUCUAUCUCUAGUCUGCAAGUUAUUUUUUGGGGAUAAAAUCCUUAUUGUACUCUGAACUGUUUUACUUGCAUGUGAUUAGGAGUAGGAAGUAAGAAAUCCCCUCUUAUCUGCUCAUGUGAGACCUAACAGGCUAAUCUACCAGGAUUAAUUAAUUAAUUACAAAGGAGCAGUUAUGGAUUAUCUUACACUGGAAAAAGAAGUGGCCUAGUCAAGGAGAGUUUUCUUGGAGUGAGCUCCUUUGUGUUGAAAAAGAUGAUGUUGGGACAUAUGCAAUGGAUUUGGGUGCUCAAAGCAGUUGGUCACCCAUGUUCUGCUCCAUAAAUGAAAGAGAUGCAUGGGAACAAGCCUCAUGUUUCCAGGAAGAACAAUGGCAAAGGAUAACAGAUUUGUCUCUUCUCUUUUGAACACCUGUUAAUUAGUUUAUGAAAUCCUUUCCAACUGAAAUUUGGCACCUUCUGUGGCAGUCACUACCCAUUGCUGAUGAACAUGGCCUAAGUUUCAGUAAGUGCAAUCCCCUAUAUUAAUGCUUGAUAAGUACUUCCUCCGUUUCAUAAUGCAAGACUUUCUAGCAUUACCCACAUUCAUUUAGAUGUUAAUGAAUCUAAACACAUAUAUAUGUCUAGAUUCAUUAACAUCUAUGGGUACAUAGGCAAUGUUAGAAAGUCUUACAUUGUGAAACGGAGGGAGUAGCAACUCUGAAACUUGAAGAUUAAACAAACAGUAAUUUCCAAUGGAAGUUUUUGCUAAUGUUCGUCAGAACACCAGAUUUUUUUUUCCUUUUGAAUUUUGCAUGAUUGCCUUAAAUUUGUCGUCCAUUGUUGCUAAUUUGAUCAAAACAUGCUACAUUAGACAUGCUGAGGAUGUAUCAUAAAUUACUCUGCAAGUUGUAACAUCCAAAGUAGAUGGAUACUAGCAUACAUCAAUGUGCAGAGAGCAUAUCAAGAAUGAAUAAGCUCUCUACCAAAAGGAUAAAUAAAAUUCCGAUUCCAGCCAAGCCAAGGGCAUGAAUGAACUCGAUAAACCUAACAAUCUCUUUAUCUCACUGCAAAGCAAGAAUUACUACCAUGUCACACUAUGAACACCCUCGAUCACUCACUCACAAGUUGAAACGUCAAAACAAAAAAUAAAAAAAGAGAGCAAGGAACAGGUUUAAUUAAAAUUUGAUACUAACUUCCUAUUUACAUCAUAAUUAAGCAGGAUCAACUCUAUAAUAAUUCUAUCAUGACGACUCUUAACACUAAGCAGUUAGCAUCUACUAAUGUUUUUGGUUCAUGCAAAUAUUCGCUCGCCCUCAAUGGUAAUCACAUGUCACUGACAAGUGGGCCCUCAAUGGCAAUCCCUUGUCACUGACAGGUGGGCCACACGACCACCACCUAACGAACCAACCGGUCGUAAGCUGGACGCACGACAGCCGUCCGAUCCCGUGCACACGACAGCAUCGGAUCGGACGGUCAGUGCAGCCGAUGCCGCUUGGCGCUGAACG
This is a non-coding RNA of Oryza sativa Japonica Group (Japanese rice), 2445 nucleotides long. The record is from RefSeq and is a predicted model, not a curated record. NCBI's taxonomy places the organism in Eukaryota, Viridiplantae, Streptophyta, Magnoliopsida, Poales, Poaceae.